This 950-nucleotide long non-coding RNA is filed under the name Volvox carteri. Its description in RNAcentral is "long non-coding RNA (VCAR_LNC002741)". Lineage: Eukaryota; Viridiplantae; Chlorophyta; Chlorophyceae; Chlamydomonadales; Volvocaceae. The record is from RNAcentral.
CCGCGAGGAGUACGGAAAGACUGCCGUACUUUGACGUCACCGAUAUUGUCUACAACUGGCCCAAUCCUUGGGGUGAGUCCUGUGCAAAGUGGGUGGGGAAGGAGGCCGCAUUGGCAGCAGAGGAGGAAGGGAGGAGAACAAUUAAACAAAAGGAGAAAAGCAAAAGUAUGAAAAACGUACCAUGAACAUAUCGCUUUUUCAUCAGGAAGAAAAGAACAAACUAACAAUAGAAAGGUAACAAGGAAGAAGGCCUCGAAAAAAUCCCAAGACAAGAAAAGGUCCCCAAUUUGCAGCAACUCCGAGCAGCUCGACAAAGAGAAAACCUUCUUAAUAACCGCCGAAUAACCGCCGAAUAACCGCCGAAUAACCGCAGGCAACGGCGACAAGUUCCUGCGCGGUCGCGGUCUACCGGUACCGCCAGUCGAAAUUCGAGCCAACAGCAGUCAGGAGCCAAGUCCCGAUCUGCAACAUCCGCGAUUCAACAGCUGCGUGUUCCCGCUCGUUUUAUGGCAGAGGUGGGAGAGGUCCGAAAGUGGGGAGAAAAAGGAAAGUGGGGAAACAGAGGACUGUUCGGCUGAUUAUGUUUCGUUGGCGUUGGCAUACCUUCCCCCAGUGGAAGAUGUUGAUUACCACCCGUUAGUUCCUAAUGCGUGGUGUUGGAAUUUGCCAUUGUGGGGAAACCCUGUUCUUCCAGAAAAAAAAUUGAAUGUCCAGUUAGAUAACAUCCGCCCGGGACUAGAAUUUCGUCAUCAAGCCCUCCUGGGCUGUAAAGCAUUGCAUACGUUGGGAGAUAUUCUUUGCGCGCGAGAGGCCUUGGAUGGAGUUAUGAAUGCAACGGACCAAGCAGGCCUAGCAAUACGCAAGGCUUGGCAUCAAAUAGUGGAUAAAUACCUCCAACCGCAAACCCCACUAGCUAAAUCCCUGUGCACCUAUCGUAAAUGGCAGGAAUG